This 3994-nucleotide long non-coding RNA is filed under the name Gallus gallus (chicken). RNAcentral describes it as "lncRNA (ENSGALG00010006982.1)". Lineage: Eukaryota; Metazoa; Chordata; Aves; Galliformes; Phasianidae. The record is from RNAcentral.
AAAGGGAGAAAAGAGGGCUCAGUGGAGAGGAAAAAAAAGAAAGAGACUUGUGAUGUGAAAGUUGCAAGGCUACUUAGUCUGUAUAUGUCUUUUCAUUAUCAGGUUUCCUGGCCAGAUUUCUCCAGACUUACUACUUUGAUCUCAGGGGGAAUCUUGGUCCCACUGCAUCUGUGACAGCGGACAGUCUAAAUGCUGAGCAAGGAUUUCACCAUUUGGCCUAUGCUGUAUCAUCGCAGGCACAUAGAAGGAAAGAUUGCACCCUGCACUUAACACAGAGAAACCUGAAGUAACUUGUGUUACUGUCUCACGAUCUUGGAAUUGCAUGAAUAAAGCUGAAGUGGAAGGAACUAGGGGGCUUGACACAUCCCUUGCAUCUUCCAUUUACUCUGACCACAGUCCCUCCCUGUUCUCUCAAGUGGAGCUAAGCCCUGCUUCCCUCCCUCUUGAUUCCCAGACAGCUACAUGGUAAGUUUUCAUUAUCUCUGUUCUUGUUGCCACAAGGUAAAAUUCUGGCAGACUCACUCUAAAAUCCAUUAGCACUGGGCAUUGAGGGCAGACUACUUCAUGCCCAUCAAUGAUCAUUCAGUCCUGUUCCAGGCUGACUGCAAGAGAAGGAAGAUAGUAUUGAAUUAGCAUUGCAGCUGAACUUCAGCAUAGAUUGUUAUAGGAAUAAAAUAUGAAGCAAAAUAUGUGACAGAAUUAAAUCCAUCAGUUCUAAUAAAGGAAACAGAAGAAAGCAAAGAAAUCUUGGACCCUUAAAUCCCAUUAACCAGGCCAGAGAGAGAAUGUGUUAAAAGAGAGCUACGCUGUAUCUUUUUUCAUUGUUUGAUGAAAUAAUCUUUUCUCACCCUUUAAGUGGUGUGUUUAAAAAUCCUGGUAUUUCUGAAACAAAGAGAAUACACAGCCACCGAGCUAGCUGGUUUUUAUACCUUCCUUUUCUGAGUAUUGUCCUUCAGUACAAUACAGAGCCAUUUCUUUGUUCUCACAAGCUAGCAGUUAAAUUGUAUGUAAAUGUAUGCAAAUUAGAUGCUGUCUAAUAAAGAGAGUCAUUAGAUGGAAGAAAUAUUUAGUUUAGGGGGGAAAAAAGAAAGAAAAGAAAGCAGGUGUAUUUUGCAAUAGAAAAUGUAAGAUUGCAAAACCCCCUCAAACUUUGGGUGAAGGCUUUUUGUAAAACCAUUAAAACAUUUUCUAAGACUUGCCCUAUUCUUGGUCCCUUCUUCUAUGCUUCUUUAUGUGUAUAUGUAUGUAUACUUCUGCAGUCUUUUCCACAGAACUCACACGGCUGUGCUGUGUGUAUAUGUACGUAAUUGAAAUGAUGUGUAAAUACUGUAUUCAUAAAUAAUGUUUAUGAUUACUUUAAACCAUAUAGCUAUGAAUUUACAUGCAUGUACUUUGUGUUAGGGUGUGUUUUUGAUUUCUGAGUCUAUACAGGUGGAGUCCAUGUGGUAAAUUUUACUGUCAUGGAUUGAUUUAUUCAUUAUAUGCCUUGCCUGUGUACAUUAUGCUUCCUAAAUCAUCUAUGUCAAUUUUAUAAACCCCUCUCCUCUCUUCAACAAUUCUAAAGCUCUCUCUUUUUUUGUUUUUUCUUCACUUUGCUUACUGAACCUCAGUGUUGGGUAUGUUUCCAGUCUUCUACUGGAAUUUUCUACCAAGUAAUUCCUUUUGAAGUAUGGACCUGAUUCAAGCCUGAAGUAGAGUGACUUUUCUGAAUGUGACAAAGCUGUAGCCUGGAGCACUAAAAUGCUAGGAAUGUGUCCUCAAAGGCUGGAGAUCCCACACCUAUGGGUGGAGCACUCAGCAUCCAUCUAUGCUCUGAAAGAUUUAAAAUUGAUGAAACUUGCAUUCUUGCCAGUUCUAAGAAGAAAAUAAUUAAGAUUUUAAUCUUUGUACCCUUGAAUCUGUAGUUCUGAUCUGUCAGUUCUUCUGCCUGGAGAGAGUAGCAUACAUAGAUGACAUGGCUCAAUUAUUAUGAAGUCGUUAUUGUUUUUUGUUUCUGAUGGUCAGUUGUCAUGAUUCAGGGUGGGGAGCCAGUAGCUGUACUUAAGGCAUAUUUUUUCAGUUGCAUUUUUGCAAGUCUGGAAGCCUAAAGACAUAUAUGUAUAUGUGUAUAAAAUGUAUGUAUAUAAAAAUAAUGUUGUUUAAAUAUUUACAUAUAAAGCCAAGAGAUUGGCUUCCUUCCCAGAAUUACUGGAACUACCUUCCCCAGGAACAUUUGGACUUGAAAAAUCUCUACAGCAACACUUUUCUUCAAAAACUAAACAACUUGUGAAGUGAGGGACUAGCUCUGCACCCUUUGCUGUUCAUAUUGGUUCUGUUGUUUGGGGUGAUGGAAUGAGAGAGGGGAGAGACUCCCAUGCAUGAGCAAUACAUUUCCAGUUAAUUAUGACAAGAUGCUCUUUUAUUGCUCUUUCCAUCCACAGUUUCUUAUUGAUUUAUUUUGAGAGAAUAUUUACGAAAAAAUAUGUAGCACAAUGGGGAUUUUUUUUUCAUUGUUCUAGAACAGGUCCAUGCAAUGGAGUGCAUCUGGGCCACAUUUAGUCCAGGGGCAGCAGUUCCUGUCCAAGCAGCUGCAGGGCAGAUGAACCAAUCGCUCAGAAAGAACUUGAAUCUCUGUUUAUCCCUUAUCCAAACUGUAUUUGUUGAGCUACCAGCAGAGAAGCCACAGUGUGAGUCUUCUGCCCCAUGGGGAAAUAUAGACAACAUCAUUGUAAGGAUGCUGUGAAAGGUUGGCAAUGAAUAUUUCACAUAUAGAAGGAGGAUACCUUCAUUCUAUUCAAGUUAUUCUUGAACAUGCAUGGUAUUCUUGGAGGGGAAUACCUCAAUUAGGAGAUGUAAGGUGAGGAUGGGAAUGCAAGAAGAAUCUGAGCUUUAGUAUGAGGAUGCUAGAGAAAGAUAAAGUUAAUAAAGUAUGGCAGAACACAGGACAUUGUGAUGAGAGGGAGGUAUGAGGUAACAUUAGCAAAUAGAAAAUGUUAACAAUUUACUCACUCACUUGGGACGCUGCUCUUCUAGGUUGUCUGGAGGCAACCUAGAGCUGAGUCACCAGUAAUGCAGACAUUUAGCACAGAUGUUUUCACACAGUUUGCAGUUUAUACACGUAACUUCAGCUACCUCUCAGAAUCUGAAAGCCUGUGUUAAUCCUGAGACACUAACCAGGGAUGUUCCUUCUGAAGGCAGGACAGGCUAGCUGUCGAAGAUAGUACUUUGUCUCCCAGAAGUAGAUUCCUCGAGAAGAAUUCAAAACACAUAGGCAGGCAAGAACAUGUUCACACAAGGGAAGAACAGUGCAGGAUUAGGUGCAGCAGUAUGAUUAACUCCGUGUUCCUCUCCAGACUUCCUCUGUUCGAUGACUAUGUACUUCUGAGGAUACAUGUGUCUCUACCUUGCCCAUCUUGAUAAUAAGGGUAAUACAGGUUUCUACAUCAAAAUACAUUGUGGGGAUAUGUAGUAUCCUGAGGCAAGUUAAAAAAGGUGCAGCCAGCACUUUGAGGGAGGUGAUCUUCCCCCUCUACUCUGCUCUGGUGAGACCACAUCUGGAGUACUAUGUCCAGUUCUGGACUCUCCAGUUCAAAAAAGACAGGGAUUUCCUAGAAACAGUCCAGUGGAGAGUAACAAAGAUGAUUAAGAGCCUGGAGCAUCUCCCAUGUGAGGAAAGGGUGAGACACCUUGGACUCUUCAGACUGGAGAAGGGAAGACAAGAAGGGGAUCUCGUUAUCUAAAGGGAGGGAAUCAAGUCGAUAGGAGUGGAUUCUUCAGUGGCAAGCAACAGCAGAACAAGGGGCUGCAGGCACAAACUGGGACACAGGAAGUUCCGUGCAAGCACAAAGAAGAGCUUCUUUACUGUCAGAGUGGCGGAGCACUGGUGUAGGCUGCUCAGAGAGGUGGUGAAGUCUCCUGUGGAGAUAUUCAGGACCUGUCUGGAUGCCUUCCUGUGCAACCUGCAAUGGGGAACACUGCUUUCGCAGGGGGGCUGGACUCGAUGAUCUCUAGAGGC